Molecule: long non-coding RNA, 1958 nt
Organism: Arachis stenosperma
Lineage: Eukaryota; Viridiplantae; Streptophyta; Magnoliopsida; Fabales; Fabaceae
Exons: 5
Source: RefSeq, a predicted model, not a curated record
CCCUGUUACUCAGCUGCUUCAGUUUUCAAAUCAAAGAAGCCACCGCCACUGUCAUAAUCCUUAUUCUUCCCCUACUGCUAAACCAUUCAUAUUGUCGAACCCCUCGAAAGCUUGCAUCGUAGUGGUUCUUCUCCUCCACGUCUGGUUAUGCGGUGAGCCCGUGUCCUAGAGCCCAUUUUCUCUCUGUCCGAAGCCCGGUAGUUCCUCUCUCAUCCUCAAUCCAGUCAUCCCGCUGCGGUUAGGAAAGAUGCUCAGGAUAGGUCGUUUCACGAAAAAAAGCCCGUUUAGACACAGUAUGUCAGUUGCCUCAAGUAGGACUUGAUACGGCUUCAACUUUCCAUCAAGCGGACUGCCCAAUUCCGUUGCCCAGUGGCAGUGGUGCCCCCGCAUCCUCGUCUUUACGCCCCUUUCGUCUGCCCUGUAGUGAACCACUGCCUGCUCCACAGGCUUACACGAAUGAUGUUCAAAACUCGGAGCCGAACGUCGAAGACUUAGACCCAGAGGCAGAUGAGGUAAAUUCUUUUAAGCAACAUGUUGAUAACCUGUUUGCUGCAUCGAAUGCUCAGAAGCCCAAGGGAUGCAAGACCGGAUGUUAAAACAAUUGGAUAACUAUGAUUUACAAAACCCGAUGGAACAAUCAAACAGGUCAAAAUGAGUGUGAAGAAAGCUAUGAAGCCACCUAACGGAAGAAAGAUCAGGUUUAACAGUGUAUUGCAACCAGUUGGGGAUGAAGCAGGUAUACUGAGUGGCGUUACGGGACUGCUAGGAUCUGACUACACCAAAUUCCUAAUCUGCGAGAAGGACUGGAGAAAGGUUCGCACCAAGGACAAGGUUUAUAAUGAAUGGUAAAGGAAAUGUUCCAUUUUGAUGAAGAUAGGAGAGGGAUUAUCAAGCAUAUAAUAUUCAAAUGCUAGGAAGGGCUUGGAAGAAAAUGAGGAACAGAUUAUACCAUCACUAUUAUGACUCAGAACUUUCACUUGAAAAAAAUAUUGAAAACCGCCCACUAGGAGUUACUACGGACCAUUGGAGAUGGUUUCUCGGUUAUCGCAAUAGUGAAGAGACACAUGUAAUAUAUUUUUAUUUCAUAACAAAAAAAUUCUAUUUAUGUUACAUUGAGUUAGGCAGAACUAGUGUCUAGUAACUCUUAAUUUGAUGGGAUGACUAGAGAAGUGUAAAAAAAAUGUUGAGAAUUGAUCAAAGCAGCUUUACACCCACACUGGCAGAUCGAAAAGCUUGGCAAGGCUCAGAGAAGAAGAGUCGGAACAUAUCUCUUAACGCACAAAAGAGCUAAUGGCUCCUAUGUCCAUGAUGCAGCUUAAGCAUUGGAGUAAGAAAUGUGUUGAGAAUCGGGAAGUAGUUUCUCCUAUGUUUUAGUUUUUAAAAUUUUAUUGGAAUUCUGUGCGGUUAGUGACUAGCUAAUAAAUUCUUAUAAUUGUUUAUCUAAGUGUGUAGGAAAGAAUUGAGGCUAUUGAGCAACGUGAUGAAUCCUCUAGACUGUUGUCUCAGAAUGAUUCGCUUGCUCAAGCUCUCAGAAAGGAACACUCGGGUAGGGUACGUGGCAUGGGUUUGGGGCCGACUUCUAGUCAAGUCUUUGGUAUGAAUUCCCAUCAGCCGAGCAAUGGUUUUGAAAGGGAAAAGACCCAAAGUGCACUGCUUGAACUACAAGCAGAGUUGGCAGCCGAGAAAUUAAAAAGGAAGGUAAUAGAGGAUGAAGUAGCAGCCGAGAAGACAAAAAGACAGGCAGUGGAGGAUGAAGUAGCAGCUGGGAAGGUAAGGAUGCAGGCAAUGGAGAGUGCCUUGAUAUGUCUACUUCAAGGGUAAGGUGGGAAGCUGCCAUCAGACGUUGCCGCAUGGAUGAGUGCGUUGGAGGGACAUAUUAGAAAGUAGAUCUUAGGAUUGUGGAACCUUUUUUUCUUUCAAAUAUACACUUUUUUGGUGUUGAUUAUGCAACUUUUAGU